Molecule: ribosomal RNA, 466 nt
Filed under: uncultured bacterium
Lineage: Bacteria
Description: partial 16S ribosomal RNA
Rfam family: Bacterial small subunit ribosomal RNA
Source: RNAcentral
GACGAACGCUGGCGGUGUGCUUAACACAUGCAAGUCGAACGGUAAGGCCCUUUCGGGGGUACACGAGUGGCGAACGGGUGCGUAACACGUGAGUAACCUGCCCUCAUCUCUGGGAUAACAGUCGGAAACGGUUGCUAAUACUGGAUAUGAGCUUGCAAGGCAUCUUGUGGGUUGGAAAGAUUUUUUUGGUUGGGGAUGGACUCGCGGCCUAUCAGCUUGUUGGUGAGGUAGUGGCUCACCAAGGCUUCGACGGGUAGCCGGCCUGAGAGGGCGACCGGCCACAUUGGGACUGAGAGACGGCCCAAACUCCUACGGGAGGCAGCAGUGGGGAAGAUUGCACAAUGGACGGAAGUCUGAUGCAGCAACGCCGCGUGCGGGAUGACGGCCUUCGGGUUGUAAACCGCUUUCAAUUGUGACGAAGCUUUUUGUGACGGUAGCAGCAGAAGAAGCACCGGCUAACUACGUG